AUAAAAUGUAGGCAAAUGAAUUUGAAAACUUUAUAGAAAAUGGUUAAUUUUCUAGAAAAAUACAUACAAUAACAAAACUGAUUCAACUAGAAACUGAAAAUUGCAAUAGACCUCAAAUCAUUGAGGAAUGGAAUUAGGAGUUUAAAUAUUUGCAUAAGGAAAAUACCAGUCUCAGAUAAUUUUAAUUGAGUUCUACCAAACAUUCAAAGAAGAAAUAAUCUAAUCUUACCUGAACUCUUUGGAAGGCUAAACUUUUUUAGAAAUAUACACAUAAAUGAUAAAACUAUAGAUAAAAUAAAAUUAAUAACAUAUUUUGGAUAAUUAUUUGUAAGCAGGAACCAGAAGGCAUUAUGUAGAGACAUGAAUGGGGAUUUAAUACUAUUGAUAAUGGCUUUUCUUUCCCCUCUCACCAUAUAUCCCCUCUUUACUCUCUUCUACCUCCACUCUUCCUCCCCCCUGCAAUCAUCACACUGUUGUCCCCCAUGAGUUCUCUCUCUCUCUCUCUCUCUCUCUCUCUCUCUCUCUCGGCUCAAUAAUGGUUUUAAAUCCUUUUUAUCUUAGGCUGAAUAGUGAAUAUAUGGGUACUUCUGUUAUUCUCUAUAUAUACUACAAAAUUCUUAACUAUUAGCAACUUCAAAAUAGUUUAAGACCAAAAUGCUUAACUUUUUUAUUUGAUUUUUCAAUAAAUUAUACAUUCACAUAGUUCAACAAUAAAAAAAUGUAGAAAGAUGAGAAGUGAAAAUUUCUUUCCCAUCCUUGUUUCAAUUCACUCAAUUUCUAACUCUCCCAACAACCAAUGUAUUAAUCCCUUUACAUUCUUCUGCAUGUCCUUAUUAUAGAAGCAAAUGUGAACAUUUAUUUUUAGUUCCUUCCCCAUGUUUUUACAUUAAGUAUAACAAUAUAACAUAUUCUGUACAAUAUUCUAUACCUUUUUUCUUUCUGAAUAUAUCUUAGAGAUCUUAUUAUUUCAGUAUAUAAGUGUUCCCUCAUUUUUUUUAGAUUUGUAUAGUAUUCUAGUUUAAGCAGAUUAUAUCAGAUCUUUAUAGUAUCUUUUCCAUGUAUAUGUCAUAUUUCAUAUUUUUUUUGCAUUUUUUUCCAACUUUUGUUCAUGCAAUUAUCCUUUGAAUACCAUCAUAGAAAUAAUAUUUAAAUAAAUCCUAUGA
Molecule: long non-coding RNA, 1163 nt
Organism: Myotis brandtii (Brandt's bat)
Lineage: Eukaryota; Metazoa; Chordata; Mammalia; Chiroptera; Vespertilionidae
Exons: 3
Source: RefSeq, a predicted model, not a curated record